UAAAACCAGCACCUCAAGUGGUCAGGAUGAUUAUUGGGCCUAAAGCAUCCGUAGCCGGCUCUGUAAGUUUUCGGUUAAAUCUGUACGCUCAACGUACAGGCUGCCGGGAAUACUGCAAAGCUAGGGAGUGGGAGAAGUAGACGGUACUCGGUAGGAAGUGGUAAAAUGCUUUGAUCUAUCGAUGACACCUGUGGCGAAGGCGGUCUACUAGAACACGUCCGACGGUGAGGGAUGAAAGCUGGGGGAGCAAACCGGAUUAGAUACCCGGGUAGUCCCAGCUGUAAACUAUGCAAACUCAGUGAUGCAUUGGCUUGUGGCCAAUGCAGUGCUGCAGGGAAGCCGUUAAGUUUGCCGCCUGGGAAGUACGUACGCAAGUAUG
RNAcentral lists this ribosomal RNA (379 nucleotides) under uncultured crenarchaeote. RNAcentral describes it as "bacterial SSU rRNA". It matches the Rfam family "Archaeal small subunit ribosomal RNA", at positions 471 to 851 of the family's 1478-position model. Lineage: Archaea; Thermoproteati; Thermoproteota. The record is from RNAcentral.